RNAcentral lists this unclassified non-coding RNA (335 nucleotides) under soil metagenome. RNAcentral's name for it is "partial contains 5.8S ribosomal RNA, internal transcribed spacer 2, and large subunit ribosomal RNA". The stretch from base 1 to 120 matches the Rfam family "5.8S ribosomal RNA", at positions 35 to 154 of the family's 154-position model. The record is from RNAcentral.
GAUGAAGAACGCAGCGAAAUGCGAUAAGUAAUGUGAAUUGCAGAAUUCAGUGAAUCAUCGAAUCUUUGAACGCACAUUGCGCCCGCCAGUAUUCUGGCGGGCAUGCCUGUUCGAGCGUCAUUUCAACCAUCAAGCCCCCGGCUCGUGUUGGGGACCUGCGGCUGCCGCAGGCCCUGAAAACCAGUGGCGGGCUCGCUAGUCACUCCGAGCGUAGUAAUACAUCUCGCUCAGGGCGUGCUGCGGGUUCCGGCCGUUAAAAAGCCUUAUUUACCCAAGGUUGACCUCGGAUCAGGUAGGAAGACCCGCUGAACUUAAGCAUAUCAAUAAGCGGAGGA